AGGACACAAAUGGGCUUUGUCUUGGGGAAGAAGGCCGAGGAAAAGGCAGCACACCCAGCGACGCAAAGAUGCUGCUGUCAGAUGUUCUGUUCAUCCUCCUUUUCAUUUGCUGCUGUCCAUCCCUCCAUUCCUGACGUUUUCGGACACCAGCUCCUGCCAGCUGGGAGCACAAGGAGACCAGGUGACUAUUGUCUAGAAUCUACCAGUGUUCUGAAAAUGGCCUCUUUCCUGUCCACCAAAGGGGAAUCAACAAUGCCAUGGAGAUUUAAAUCAUCAUUAAUGAGGACACUUCUUUAUUAGAAAAGGUAAAAAAAAACUGGAGAAAUUAAAAUGGAUGAAAAAUAUUCUUCAAUCAACUAUGAGUUGGAUUGAUAAAUCUGGUUCUGCUGCCUGUUGAAUGUGAAUAUACAAGAUCAAUUUGGAUGCAAUCAUUGACAAAUUUGCAAAAGUCCCCAAAACAAAAACUGGUAUGUUCUCUGUUACCAACAUACCGGCAAAAGGUUUUGCCCUUUUCUUUAAAAAAAAAAAAAAAAAACACCUAAUUUAAAAGUAUCUACUUUCCCCCCUUUUUUGGUAAUGUAGUAUUUAUUUACUUGUUUAUUCAUUUAUUUAUUUAACUGCCUUGAUUAUAUACGUCAAGUUUAAUAAAAGAAAAAUUUCACUAUCUGCA
Molecule: long non-coding RNA, 670 nt
Organism: Equus quagga
Lineage: Eukaryota; Metazoa; Chordata; Mammalia; Perissodactyla; Equidae
Exons: 2
Source: RefSeq, a predicted model, not a curated record